UUCUACCCCAGGAUAGGGGUGUGUCCGUAUGUUGGCAGAGUCAACCCCUGAAAUUGUGGUCCAAGGAAGGACAAUCGAUGAACUGGCAACAGGGUCAUGGGCUCCCAAGCCUCUCUAAUGAAUGUGGGGGAAGGUUAGCCCAUUGGUCAUCCCACAGUAGAGCUAGUGUAGCACAAAUUGCUGAAAAAGUUAAUGCUGGCUAUGAUAGAAAAGUGUCAGAAUAAAAUGCAUUGCAGCUUGCUGCAUAUUAGGCUGCGUAGCCACAGACCAGACAGAGUGCCCUUGCUGCCCCCUGUCCAACACCAAAAGUGUCUACAAUGGGCAUGCUAAGUACUGGACCAUGGAGCAGUGGAAGAAAGUGGCCUGGUCUGAUGAAUCACAUUUUCUUUUACAUCAUGAGGAUGGCUGGGUGCAUGUGCAUCGUUUACCUGGGGAAGAGGUGGCACCAAGAUGCACUAUGGGAAGAAGACAAGCCAGAGGAGGAAGUGUAAUGUUCUAGGCAACGUUCUGCUGGGAAACCUUGGGGCCUGGCAUUCAUGUGGAUGUUAAUUUGACACGUACCACCUACUUAAACAUUGUUGCAGACCAAGUAAACCCCUUCAUGUCAACAGUAUUCCCUAAUGGCAGUGGCCUCUUUCAGCAGGAUAAUGCUCCCUGACACACUGCAAAAAUUGUUCAGGAAUUGUUUGAGGAACAUGACAAAGAAUUCAAGGUGCUGACUCGUCAAAUUCCACAGAUCUCAAUCCAAUCAACCAUCUCGGACAUGUGCUGGACAAACAAGUCCGAUCCAUGGACCUCCCCAUCUAAAAACUUACAGGACUUAAAGAAUCUGCUGCCAACGUCUUGGUGCCAGAUAGCACAGCACACCUACAGAGAGCUCAAAAAGAAACACAGAUUUCCUGGAGAAAAUUUACUGCGCCUGGCACAGCAUGGGGAGGAAUAGAAACAGCAGGGAUGAACAUCAGACAAGAAGUGACAGAAGGAAAAGAGG
Ictalurus punctatus (channel catfish) is the source of this 991-nucleotide long non-coding RNA. RefSeq lists it as uncharacterized. The record is from RefSeq and is a predicted model, not a curated record. Lineage: Eukaryota; Metazoa; Chordata; Actinopteri; Siluriformes; Ictaluridae. The transcript has 2 exons.